Molecule: long non-coding RNA, 262 nt
Organism: Nematolebias whitei (Rio pearlfish)
Lineage: Eukaryota; Metazoa; Chordata; Actinopteri; Cyprinodontiformes; Rivulidae
Exons: 4
Source: RefSeq, a predicted model, not a curated record
GACAACACAUCUCAACAAACUCUCCAGCUGUGAGAAACUUUACUGAAGCAGUGAACACUUGAAGUGAUUCCAGUGCAGUCAUGCUGAAGGUCGCUCUUGUUCUCGGAUGCCUCCUGAGCCUCAUUGUGGCUCAACCUGAGGAGCACCUGAGGUUCGCCCGCUCCAGUGGCUCCAACUCGAAUGAGGGCCUAUUUACAAAUUCACUGGGCAACCAACUGAUGUUUCAGUCCCUUCUCAACCUAAUACGCAACCGAUUUACCAC